RNAcentral lists this ribosomal RNA (1624 nucleotides) under Verrucaria hochstetteri. RNAcentral describes it as "eukaryotic LSU rRNA". It matches the Rfam family "Eukaryotic large subunit ribosomal RNA", at positions 40 to 1444 of the family's 3401-position model. Lineage: Eukaryota; Fungi; Ascomycota; Eurotiomycetes; Verrucariales; Verrucariaceae. The record is from RNAcentral.
AUAUCAAUAAGCGGAGGAAAAGAAACCAACAGGGAUUGCCUCAGUAACGGCGAGUGAAGCGGCAACAGCUCAAAUUUGAAAUCUGGCUCCUCUCGGGGUCCGAGUUGUAAUUUGUAGAGGAUGCUUCGGGCAAGGCUGCGGUCUAAUUUGCUUGGAACAGCGAGUCACAGAGGGUGAGAGUCCCGUCUAGGACCGUGCGCCGCGUCCAUGUGAAGCUCCUUCGACGAGUCGAGUUGUUUGGGAAUGCAGCUCUAAAUGGGUGGUAAAUUUCAUCUAAAGCUAAAUAUUGGCCAGAGACCGAUAGCGCACAAGUAGAGUGAUCGAAAGAUGAAAAGCACUUUGAAAAGAGAGUUAAACAGUAUGUGAAAUUGUUGAAAGGGAAGCGCUUGCAACCAGACUUGCGUGUGACGGUUCCCCCCACCUUCUGGUGGGGCUACUCCGUCAUCUCCAGGCCAGCAUCGGUUUGGGUGGUCGGUCAAAGACCUCGGGAAUGUAUCUACCUUCGGGUCGACUUAUAGCCCGGGGUGCAAUGCGGCCCAUCCAGACCGAGGAACGCGCUUCGGCCCGGAUGCUGGCGUAAUGGUUGCAAGCGGCCCGUCUUGAAACACGGACCAAGGAGUCUAACAUCUAUGCGAGUGUUUGGGUGUCAAACCCCUACGCGGAAUGAAAGUGAACGGAGGUAAGAACCCCGCAAGGGGCGCAUUAUCGACCGAUCCUGAUGUCUUCGGAUGGAUUUGAGUAAGAGCAUAGCUGUUGGGACCCGAAAGAUGGUGAACUAUGCCUGAAUAGGGUGAAGCCAGAGGAAACUCUGGUGGAGGCUCGCAGCGGUUCUGACGUGCAAAUCGAUCGUCAAAUUUGGGCAUAGGGGCGAAAGACCAAUCGAACCAUCUGGUAGCUGGUUCCUGUCGAAGUUUCCCUCAGGAUAGCAGUAACGUUUUCAGUUUUAUGAGGUAAAGCGAAUGAUUAGAGGCCUUGGGGUUGAAACAGCCUUAACCUAUUCUCAAACUUUAAAUAUGUAAGAAGUCCUUGUUACUUAAUUGAACGUGGACAUUUGAAUGUAUCGUUACUAGUGGGCCAUUUUUGGUAAGCAGAACUGGCGAUGCGGGAUGAACCGAACGUGAGGUUAAGGUGCCGGAAUGUACGCUCAUCAGACACCACAAAAGGUGUCAAUGCAUCCAGACAGCCGGACGGUGGCCAUGGAAGUCGGAAUCCGCUUAGGAGUGUGUACCAGCCCUGGGGGGAAGAAUUGUUGCACACGAUGAAUUCUGGUCACGCAGAAUUUAGUUAUGCCGUUGAACCACGCAUGACAAUGGCUCUAUUUGACUGGAAAUCCCAGAGGGGAUGAUCGGUCGUAAAUCCUCAGAUUUAUCUACAGACUAGAAUGAGCCAGCUGUCCCACUCUUCAGUGAAUAGCUAAGAUAUAGUCGAUCCAAGGUCUUUUUGAUCAAGAUCUGUAACCGAGAACAACUCACCGGCCGAAUGCAUUGGCCCUGAAAAUGGAUGGCGCUUAAGCGUGCUACCUAUACCUCGCCGUUGGGGUUGAAAUGAUGCCCCAACGAGUAGGCAGGCGUGGGGGUUGGUGACGAAGCCUUUGGGGUGACCCUGGGUCGAACAACCUCUAGUG